This 440-nucleotide ribosomal RNA is filed under the name uncultured bacterium. Its description in RNAcentral is "bacterial SSU rRNA". It matches the Rfam family "Bacterial small subunit ribosomal RNA", at positions 8 to 417 of the family's 1533-position model. The record is from RNAcentral.
AGAGUUUGAUCCUGGCUCAGGAUAAACGCUGGCGGCGUGCCUUACGCAUGCAAGUCGAACGGUGUCCUUCGGGGCACAGUGGCGGACGGGUGAGUAACACGUACGUAACCUGCCGCGCGGUGGGGGAUACCGGUCCGAAAGGGCCGCUAAUACCGCAUACGUUCGUCCCGCAAGGGGCGAGGAAAGGGCUUCGGCCCGCGCCGGGUGAGGGGCGUGCGGCCGAUUAGCUAGUUGGUGGGGUAUAGGGCCUACCCAGGGCCAAUUAAUUCCGGUUAACCUGGGGCCUGAAGAAGGCCCGAAGCCAGCCCACCACCUGGGGGAACUGGAAGAACACCGGGCCCCCAGAACCUCCCUACCGGGGGAGGGCAGCCAGCCGAAGGGAAAUUUUGCGCAAUGGGCGAAAGCCUGACGCAGCAACGCCGCGUGGGUGAGGAAGGCCU